GUGCUUGCUUCAGCAGCACAUAUACUAAGAUUGGAACGAUACUGAGAAGAUUAGCAUGGCCCCUGCACAAGGAUGACACACAUAUUCAUGAAGCAGUCCAUAUUUUU
Small nuclear RNA from Eptesicus fuscus (big brown bat), 107 nucleotides. The record is from RefSeq and is a predicted model, not a curated record. Lineage: Eukaryota; Metazoa; Chordata; Mammalia; Chiroptera; Vespertilionidae.